Molecule: ribosomal RNA, 493 nt
Filed under: uncultured bacterium
Lineage: Bacteria
Description: partial 16S ribosomal RNA
Rfam family: Bacterial small subunit ribosomal RNA
Source: RNAcentral
GAGUGAACGCUGGCGGUAGGCCUAACCCAUGCAAGUCGAACGGCAGCACAGUAAGAGCUUGCUCUUACGGGUGGCGAGUGGCGGACGGGUGAGGAAUACAUCGGAAUCUACUUUUUCGUGGGGGAUAACGUAGGGAAACUUACGCUAAUACCGCAUACGACCUACGGGUGAAAGCAGGGGAUCUUCGGACCUUGCGCGAUUGAAUGAGCCGAUGUCGGAUUAGCUAGUUGGCGGGGUAAAGGCCCACCAAGGCGACGAUCCGUAGCUGGUCUGAGAGGAUGAUCAGCCACACUGGAACUGAGACACGGUCCAGACUCCUACGGGAGGCAGCAGUGGGGAAUAUUGGACAAUGGGCGCAAGCCUGAUCCAGCCAUACCGCGUGGGUGAAGAAGGCCUUCGGGUUGUAAAGCCCUUUUGUUGGGAAAGAAAAGCAGCAGGUUAAUACCCCGCUGUUCCGACGGUACCCAAAGAAUAAGCACCGGCUAACUUCGUG